RNAcentral lists this ribosomal RNA (236 nucleotides) under uncultured bacterium. RNAcentral describes it as "partial 16S ribosomal RNA". It matches the Rfam family "Bacterial small subunit ribosomal RNA", at positions 127 to 353 of the family's 1533-position model. The record is from RNAcentral.
UGCCCUAGACAGGGGGAGUAACUAUUGGAAACGAUAGCUAAGACCGCAUAGGUACGGACACUGCAUGGUGACCGUAUUAAAAGUGCCUCAAAGCACUGGUAGAGGAUGGACUUAUGGCGCAUUAGCUGGUUGGCGGGGUAACGGCCCACCAAGGCGACGAUGCGUAGCCGACCUGAGAGGGUGACCGGCCACACUGGGACUGAGACACGGCCCAGACUCCUACGGGAGGCAGCAUG